This 634-nucleotide ribosomal RNA is filed under the name uncultured archaeon. RNAcentral's name for it is "bacterial SSU rRNA". It matches the Rfam family "Archaeal small subunit ribosomal RNA", at positions 224 to 859 of the family's 1478-position model. The record is from RNAcentral.
AUUAGGUAGUUGGUUAGGUAAUGGCUUCCAAGCCGUUGAUCGGUACGGGUUGUGAGAGCAAGAGCCCGGAGAUGGAACCUGAGACAAGGUUCCAGGCCCUACGGGGUGCAGCAGGCGCGAAACCUCCGCAAUGUGAGAAAUCGCGAUGGGGGGAUCCCAAGUGCCAUUCUUAACGGGAUGGCUUUUCAUUAGUGUAAAGAGCUUUUGGAAUAAGAGCUGGGCAAGACCGGUGCCAGCCGCCGCGGUAACACCGGCAGCUCUAGUGGUAGCAAUUUUUAUUGGGCCUAAAGCGUCCGUAGCCGGUUUAAUAAGUCUCUGGUGAAAUCCUGUAGCUUAACUGUGGGAAUUGCUGGAGAUACUAUUAGACUUGAGACCGGGAGAGGUUAGAGGUACUCCCAGGGUAGAGGUGAAAUUCUGUAAUCCUGGGAGGACCGCCUGUUGCGAAGGCGUCUAACUGGAACGGUUCUGACGGUGAGGGACGAAAGUUAGGGGCGCGAACCGGAUUAGAUACCCGGGUAGUCCUAACUGUAAACGAUGCGGACUUGGUGUUGGGGUGGCUUUGAGCUGCUCCAGUGCCGAAGGGAAGCUGUUAAGUCCGCCGCCUGGGAAGUACGGUCGCAAGACUGAAACUUAA